ACGAACGCUGGCGGCAUGCCUAACACAUGCAAGUCGAACGAGACCUUCGGGUCUAGUGGCGCACGGGUGCGUAACGCGUGGGAAUCUGCCCUUGGGUACGGAACAACAGUUAGAAAUGACUGCUAAUACCGUAUAAUGACUUCGGUCCAAAGAUUUAUCGCCCAGGGAUGAGCCCGCGUAGGAUUAGCUUGUUGGUGAGGUAAAGGCUCACCAAGGCGACGAUCCUUAGCUGGUCGAGAGGAUGAUCAGCCACACUGGGACUGAGACACGGCCCAGACUCCUACGGGAGGCAGCAGUGGGGAAUAUUGGACAAAUGGGCGCAAAGCCUGAUCCAGCGAUGCCGCGUGUGUGAAG
Molecule: ribosomal RNA, 354 nt
Filed under: uncultured bacterium
Lineage: Bacteria
Description: bacterial SSU rRNA
Rfam family: Bacterial small subunit ribosomal RNA
Source: RNAcentral